UUUUGUUAUAGGCCCGUGGGAGUCUGGGGAAAGAUUGUGGGCUCAUUAUGCGCGAUUGCCGGUGUCUUGACGAUCGCUCUACCUGUCCCCGUUAUCGUCUCCAAC
This is a non-coding RNA of Camponotus floridanus (Florida carpenter ant), 105 nucleotides long. NCBI's taxonomy places the organism in Eukaryota, Metazoa, Arthropoda, Insecta, Hymenoptera, Formicidae. The record is from Rfam.